UACAGAGGUCUCGAGCGUUGUUCGGAUUCAUUGGGCGUAAAGGGCUCGUAGGCGGUUUGUCGCGUCGGGAGUGAAAACCUACAGCUUAACUGUGGGCUUGCUUUCGAUACGGGCAGACUAGAGGUAUGCAGGGGAGAACGGAAUUCCUGGUGUAGCGGUGAAAUGCGCAGAUAUCAGGAGGAACACCGGUGGCGAAGGCGGUUCUCUGGGCAUGAUCUGACGCUGAGGAGCGAAAGUGUGGGGAGCGAACAGG
RNAcentral lists this ribosomal RNA (253 nucleotides) under uncultured bacterium. RNAcentral's name for it is "partial 16S ribosomal RNA". It matches the Rfam family "Bacterial small subunit ribosomal RNA", at positions 524 to 776 of the family's 1533-position model. The record is from RNAcentral.